CAUCUAGUGUCAAGAUGAGGAAAGCAGCCCAUUAGAACUCAAAGACACCAUUACGUUGCCGCAAUAUCUUACACCACGAAUAUUAGUUGUUGAAUGAAAGUAUAAUGGUUAGGUAAACAUAGCAAAAUUCUACAAUGCUAUCGAUGCAUAUGAAUAACUUGAAAUAAUGAAAGAACUACGUCCCAUAAUAUAACAACCUAACUUAGUGCAAAAAGGUAAAGGGUGUGCUGAGAGAGAUUUGUCAAGCAUUCGUAAGGUGAGAAAAAACUUUGCCCGCAAAAUAAAUUUAAAUUUAUAAUUUAUAAUUGAGUUAUUAACACCCAUAGUUAUCAGAUACAAUGGAUGGUUGUGGCUCUGAUGGAGUAUUUUGAUUCUUUGACUAUGGGUUUUGCAGCUCCAUCAUUCACCCGCCCAGAUACACUUUUGUUGGAAUUACCAGCAUCAAAACAAAAACUUUCUUUCUUGGCCUUCCUGCCCAUACUCUUUCUGUUUCUACCAUGGUUGUAUGAUUUAUCGUCCCUGCCCACUGAGUUACCUUCCACCAAAUUACAACUCUUGGCUUUUCUUGGUAAUUAAAGCUUUUAAACCAACAGUAACCAUACGCACCCUGGCAGCAAAGCUUACCUUCUAUAAGAUAAACCAAAAUAAACUCACAGUAUUGAAGAAGAGCAAUCAACUGAGCAACAUCAAAACCUAUCUUAAACCCUAACUGGAGUGGCAACAGAGCUU
This 729-nucleotide long non-coding RNA is filed under the name Populus trichocarpa (black cottonwood). RNAcentral's name for it is "long non-coding RNA (PTRI_LNC000156)". The record is from RNAcentral. Lineage: Eukaryota; Viridiplantae; Streptophyta; Magnoliopsida; Malpighiales; Salicaceae.